GAUGAACGCUGGCGGCGUGCCUAAUACAUGCAAGUCGAGCGAACAGACGAGGAGCUUGCUCCUCUGACGUUAGCGGCGGACGGGUGAGUAACACGUGGAUAACCUACCUAUAAGACUGGGAUAACUUCGGGAAACCGGAGCUAAUACCGGAUAAUAUAUUGAACCGCAUGGUUCAAUAGUGAAAGACGGUUUUGCUGUCACUUAUAGAUGGAUCCGCGCCGCAUUAGCUAGUUGGUAAGGUAACGGCUUACCAAGGCAACGAUGCGUAGCCGACCUGAGAGGGUGGUCGCACACACUGAAAAGGAGACCGGGUCAGGACCCCAGCGGGAGAGGGAAGGAGGAACUCUCCCGAAAGGGGGAAAGCCCUGAGGAAGCAGCCCCGAGUGAGGGAGGAGGGUCUUGGUAUCUAAAAACUUUUUUAUGGGGAAAAAAAAAAGGGGAAAUAAAAUCUGCCCGUCUGGAGGGUCCUAAACAAAAAGCCCAGGCAAAAUCACGUC
This 497-nucleotide ribosomal RNA is filed under the name uncultured bacterium. RNAcentral describes it as "partial 16S ribosomal RNA". It matches the Rfam family "Bacterial small subunit ribosomal RNA", at positions 28 to 507 of the family's 1533-position model. The record is from RNAcentral.